GGACAGGUGUCCGAGCGGCUGAAGGAGCGGCACUGGAAAUGCCGUGUACGGCUUAUGUCCGUACCGUGGGUUCGAAUCCCACCCUGUCCG
Molecule: transfer RNA, 90 nt
Filed under: Phycisphaerales bacterium
Lineage: Bacteria; Pseudomonadati; Planctomycetota; Phycisphaerae; Phycisphaerales
Description: tRNA-Ser
Rfam family: tRNA
About the family: Transfer RNA (tRNA) molecules are approximately 80 nucleotides in length. Their secondary structure includes four short double-helical elements and three loops (D, anti-codon, and T loops).
Source: RNAcentral